GAUGAAGAACGCAGCGAAAUGCGAUAAGUAAUGUGAAUUGCAGAAUUCAGUGAAUCAUCGAAUCUUUGAACGCACAUUGCGCCCGCCAGUAUUCUGGCGGGCAUGCCUGUUCGAGCGUCAUUACAACCCUCAGGCCCCCGGGCCUGGCGUUGGGGAUCGGCGGAGCCCCCCGUGGGCACACGCCGUCCCCCAAAUGCAGUGGCGGUCCCGCCGCAGCUUCCAUCGCGUAGUAGCUAACACCUCGCGACUGGAGAGCGGCGCGGCCACGCCGUAAAACACCCAACUCUUCUGAAGUUGACCUCGAAUCAGGUAGGAAUACCAGCUGAACUUAAGCAUAUCAAUAAGCGGAGGA
This 352-nucleotide unclassified non-coding RNA is filed under the name soil metagenome. RNAcentral describes it as "partial contains 5.8S ribosomal RNA, internal transcribed spacer 2, and large subunit ribosomal RNA". The stretch from base 1 to 120 matches the Rfam family "5.8S ribosomal RNA", at positions 35 to 154 of the family's 154-position model. The record is from RNAcentral.